Molecule: long non-coding RNA, 1235 nt
Filed under: Equus caballus (horse)
Lineage: Eukaryota; Metazoa; Chordata; Mammalia; Perissodactyla; Equidae
Description: lncRNA (ENSECAG00000045371.1)
Source: RNAcentral
UGAUAGUGGGGGCUUCCAUUCCUGUCUUUUGGAACACUUGCCCCUGGAAGUCUGAGCCUUCAUGUAAGAAGUUUGGCUACUCUGCUGGAGAGGCCUCCUGGAGAGUACCCAAGAAUCUACCAAAAGGAGGUGGAGGUUGGCUCACGCAUCAGGCAUUUCCUUAGGAAAUCCCACCAUUGUCUGAUUGGGAAGGAAUGGCUUUCCCGACUGGUGCGACUAGGAAGAUCAUCCUCUGAAGGAAAAAACCCAGACGUUCUGUCUCCAAUAGAUUCCCAGUAUUCCCACCGUCCCAGCCUGUGGAGCUCCAUGCUUGUACCUUGUGCACUUUCUGAAUAACAAAGGUUUUAUAGGUAAAAUCUGCAGUGUGUUUUGUGUACUUGACAAUAAGGUGCACUGGUUUUCGGCAGCACAGUGAGGACAGAAAGGAUUAAGCGAGGUUAGCACUGAGCAUCCACCAUGGAGUCGGCCAGAAGAAGCCUGCGUGACCGGGAACUGCUGAAGCCCUCUUAGUUAUAUCAUAGCCAGUUGAAUUACUGCUGUGUGUGCAUCUUAUUUCUCUAACUGGCUUGUUAUCACCUUUAGGAUAGGGAGCUAUCUUUUGUGUCUCUGCUCAGGUCUAUGAUUUUUUUAUUGUGGAAAGAAUUUUAAAACCGUUAUCUGAUAGUCUAGUAUCACCCCUUAUGGCUCUGUAUAAAUAGCUUACCUUUUAAGCCUGUUUCUUCAUCUGUAAAAUAAAAACAAUAACACUUCCUGGGCUACUAACAAAAUUAAGAGAUACAGCAUUUACAAACAGGCUUCAAAAUUAUAUAUUUGUAUAAAAUUUAAAGCAUUAUUGCUAUAGUUAAUAAUUAAUAAUAGUAGAAAAUAAGUAUUUAAAGAAUGUUGAAUAAAAGGAAAGAAUCCAAUGUUCAAGAUUGUAUUGCUGCUUUAGGGGUCCAAUGAAUGACACACAAGGAAAAUAUCAGGGCCUAGGUUUUUAGCUAGCUGAGAUGCACAUAACAUAGUAGCUACAUGCAAAUAAUCCAUAAUUGGAGUAAUCCCAAAGAAUGCUAGUCAUUAAUUUGAAGUCAUAAGGCAAUGUGCACAGAAGUCAAGUCUUUAUAUAGAGUACAUAGUGAGCAAUUCUCUACAGAUCUUCUUCCUCUAACUCCAGUGUAAUGAUUGAUGCCCUUUCUCGGUAUGAUCCUCUACUGUUAUAAGUAUGUGUUAAGAAAUUUUUCAAAAAUGAUAAAUUC